This 351-nucleotide ribosomal RNA is filed under the name Paroedura sanctijohannis. RNAcentral describes it as "partial 12S ribosomal RNA". It matches the Rfam family "Bacterial small subunit ribosomal RNA", at positions 874 to 1395 of the family's 1533-position model. Lineage: Eukaryota; Metazoa; Chordata; Lepidosauria; Squamata; Gekkonidae. The record is from RNAcentral.
AGACACUACAAGCAAAAACUUUAAAAUCAAAGGACUUGACGGUGUUGCACACCAACCUAGAGGAGCCUGUCCAAUAAUCGAUAACCCACGCUCCACCUUACCCCCCCUAGCCAACCGCCUAUAUACCGCCGUCGCCAGCCUACCUCUUGAAAGAACAGCCGUAAGCAAAACGAGCCUCCCCAACACGUCAGGUCAAGGUGUAGCUAAUGGGGGGGGAAAAGAUGGGCUACACUCUCUUCACCAAGGGCCAACCGCCAGCCCAAUGAAACAAGGGCUAAAAAGCUGGAUUUAGUAGUAAUCUCGGUAAGAAAGCCGAGCUGAAACACGCGCUGCAACACGCACACACCGCCC